CCCGCAUGCUGUUCUCAUGAUAGUGAGUUCUCACGAGAUCUGUUGGUUUUAUAAGGGGCUCUCCCCCCUUCAAUGGGUACUUCUCCUUCCUGCCACCUUGUGAAGAAGGUGCCUUGCUUCCCCUUCCACCAUGAUUGUAAGUUUCCUGAGGCCUCCCCAGCCAUGCUAUACUGUGAGCCAAUUAAACCCCUUUCCUUUAUAAAUUAUUCAGUCUCGGGUAGUUCCUUAUAGCAGUACAGAAAUUGACUAAUACAGAUAUGCCCAAAUUAAUAAAAAUGAUGCAAACCAAUAAUUGUGUGGCCACUAAAAUCUUUACUUAACUGGCAUCACACUCUUUACUUAUGUUAAAGGAAUAAAUUGCAUGCAUUAGUUAUCUAUUGCUGUGUAGAAAUUCCCCCACUGCAGCAAUGUAACACAACACACACCUAUUAUCUCAACGAAUCCGUGAGUCGGGAGUCCAGCGACAGACUUGCCGGCUCUCCUGCUGGGGUCUCACAAGGCGGUCGCCAGGUUAUGUCCAGGGUGGGUUCUCAUGCGGAGUCUGACUGGGGGAGCGUGCAUGCCCCUGCUCGCAUGUGUUUGGUAACACUCAGCUCCUUUCAGUUGUAGGAUCUGUGGCAGCUGCUGGCUUCUUCAGAGCCAGUGAGGGAGACAGCGAGUCUCCCCAAAAGACAGUCCUGUGUGAUGUGAGUCAUCCCCAGAGUGACAUCCCAUCACCUUUGCUGUAGCCGUUGGUUAGAAGUCAGUCACCAGUCCUUCUCUGUGACUCAGGGGAGAUGACUACAUAAAAGGCAGUUACACCUGGAGGCACCUGGGAGUCUGCCACACGCCCCCCUGCCUCCCUCGCAUGUGCAAAAGUCAUUCACCUGCUCUAGGUACCUAAGAUUUUCGGAGCUUCAUGGCAUCAGCUCAAAGCCUGAAAUGUCAACAUCUAAAUCAGGUCAAAGGUCAGUGGAGGGUCAUGGUGCAAUCAUUCGGUUCAGGUUCUGGGACACAAUUCCUCUCCAUGGAUGGGCCCGGGAAGCUAAAGAGAUUAGUGACCUGUCCCGUGGUGGAGCAGGCACCAGAUGCAGCUGUAGACAUUUCAGUUUUCAAGGGGAGGAAAUGGCAGAUAAAAGGCAUCUUGACUGUGUAGCAAUUCCAAAUCCAGAAAAGUAAAGGUUGGGAGUUCUCAGUCAGGUUUCCAGGGCUGGGGAGAAUUCUCCUGGCUUCUGGAUUCCCUGUCUGGGCUCUUGGUCCCCGCAUCUACACUGCACUUGUUUGGAAGGAAAGGUUGCCCAUGUUUGCAGCUGAGGAGCUUUUUAGCCUACUUCCAGCCAGCAAAAUCUGGGGAGUCUGGCAGCCUCCUUUCAUCCUGUGCUCUCUCUGUUCCUUCCCACCCAGGCUGGCAGUGUUUCUGUGAAAGUGAUUUCCUCAAAAUCUUUGUCUCUCAUGGAUUUCACCUGGGUCUACUCCAUGAGCCGAAGGCCUCACCUGCCGAUGUUUUUGAGGCAAGCCUUUUCUAUCUUUGAGUCCUGCCGAGGUGACUCGGAGUCAACGCCCUUCGGCUCCUCAGGGGCUCCCUGGUUCGAUCCAUGAGGCUCAGCCCUGACCUCUCUAAGGCACCCUUGGUGGGGCAGAAUGCUGAGGCUAUGAUCUUUCUGAGGCCUUAUCCAAAGGCUGUGCAGACACAGCCCAGCCACCUGGGCUCCUGGGCUUACACUGUCUUGACAGCACCAUCUCUUGCUAUCUGGAGAGGCCGACGCCUCAAUUCUGGACGUCUGGACCCAAACCGUGAGACAUAAACUUCUGUG
RNAcentral lists this long non-coding RNA (1793 nucleotides) under Homo sapiens (human). Its description in RNAcentral is "HSALNT0338437". Lineage: Eukaryota; Metazoa; Chordata; Mammalia; Primates; Hominidae. The record is from RNAcentral.